Molecule: transfer RNA, 73 nt
Filed under: Actinomycetes bacterium
Lineage: Bacteria; Bacillati; Actinomycetota; Actinomycetes
Also listed under: 1 other name
Description: tRNA-Ala
Rfam family: tRNA
About the family: Transfer RNA (tRNA) molecules are approximately 80 nucleotides in length. Their secondary structure includes four short double-helical elements and three loops (D, anti-codon, and T loops).
Source: RNAcentral
GCCCACGUAACUUAAUUGGAUAAAGUCUAAAAUUCGCAGUUUAGAGAUGUGGGUUCAAUUCCCGCCGUGGGCA